RNAcentral lists this long non-coding RNA (346 nucleotides) under Homo sapiens (human). Its description in RNAcentral is "HSALNT0365762". The record is from RNAcentral. Lineage: Eukaryota; Metazoa; Chordata; Mammalia; Primates; Hominidae.
CUCUGUGUAGCAUAGAGAGAGCCUCCAUUCUGUGUCUUCGUGUGGUCUUCCUUCUGUGCUUGUCUGUAACCAAUCUCCUCUUCCUAUAAUGACAUCAGUCAGGGGAAAGAAGGAGCAUAAGGACAGAAGGCAAUGACAAUCAUGACAGAGCAAGCUGUAGAAUUAUAAUCACGGCUGGGGAAUGUGGUCAUGAUGGCUGAGGAUAGAGGUGGAACAGGUGCCAUGCUGCUAUCACAAGACGGAGACCACAUACUCUAAGAAUGCUGAACAGAAAAAUAAAAGGAGUCUGAGUCCCUGAUGACAUAAUAGAGCUACCAUAACCACCAUGGAUAUUGUCUAGGUGCUU